Zingiber officinale is the source of this 118-nucleotide long non-coding RNA. RefSeq lists it as uncharacterized. The transcript is spliced from 3 exons. The record is from RefSeq and is a predicted model, not a curated record. NCBI's taxonomy places the organism in Eukaryota, Viridiplantae, Streptophyta, Magnoliopsida, Zingiberales, Zingiberaceae.
UUCCAGCAGUCACACAAAACCCUUAGAAGAUCCGAGCUCGAGUGGAGCACGGUGACCUGCCGAUACUCGGAGAUUUUUGCUGUAUAUAAGUUUUGCAGACACAGGGAUCCUUUUGAUA